CUAGCACAGUGGUUGACACUUAAUGGUCUCCCAAUAAAUAUUAAUUUAACGAGAUAUUUAACGCCUACCAUCUUUAAACUGCACAAUUGGAAUUGAACGACCAUCGAUGAAACGCAUCCACAUCGUUAAAUAUUAAUGUAAAAUAAAAACCACACACUUGGUGGAAUAAAUAAAUACAUAAAAUAAAUAGGACCCUCAAUAGAAAUCGUAAAAUGUGUAAAACUAGUGUUGUCAGAAGCCAGCGUUCACCAGACA
Molecule: non-coding RNA, 255 nt
Filed under: Rattus norvegicus (Norway rat)
Lineage: Eukaryota; Metazoa; Chordata; Mammalia; Rodentia; Muridae
Source: RNAcentral